GACGAACGCUGGCGGCGUGCUUAACACAUGCAAGUCGAACGGAAAGGCCCUGCUUUUGUGGGGUGCUCGAGUGGCGAACGGGUGAGUAACACGUGAGUAACCUGCCCUUGACUUUGGGAUAACUUCAGGAAACUGGGGCUAAUACCGGAUAGGAGCUCCUGCUGCAUGGUGGGGGUUGGAAAGUUUCGGCGGUUGGGGAUGGACUCGCGGCUUAUCAGCUUGUUGGUGGGGUAGUGGCUUACCAAGGCUUUGACGGGUAGCCGGCCUGAGAGGGUGACCGGCCACAUUGGGACUGAGAUACGGCCCAGACUCCUACGGGAGGCAGCAGUGGGGAAUCUUGCACAAUGGGCGGAAGCCUGAUGCAGCAACGCCGCGUGCGGGAUGACGGCCUUCGGGUUGUAACCCGCUUUCGCCUGUGACGACGCGUGAGUGACGGUAAUGGGUAAAGAAGCACCGGCUAACUACGUG
This 468-nucleotide ribosomal RNA is filed under the name uncultured bacterium. RNAcentral's name for it is "partial 16S ribosomal RNA". It matches the Rfam family "Bacterial small subunit ribosomal RNA", at positions 28 to 507 of the family's 1533-position model. The record is from RNAcentral.